This 571-nucleotide ribosomal RNA is filed under the name uncultured bacterium. RNAcentral's name for it is "partial 16S ribosomal RNA". It matches the Rfam family "Bacterial small subunit ribosomal RNA", at positions 355 to 917 of the family's 1533-position model. The record is from RNAcentral.
UGGGGAAUUUUGGACAAUGGGCGAAAGCCUGAUCCAGCAAUGCCGCGUGUGUGAAGAAGGCCUUCGGGUUGUAAAGCACUUUUGUCCGGAAAGAAAUCCUCUGGGUUAAUACCUCGGGGGGAUGACGGUACCGGAAGAAUAAGCACCGGCUAACUACGUGCCAGCAGCCGCGGUAAUACGUAGGGUGCAAGCGUUAAUCGGAAUUACUGGGCGUAAAGCGUGCGCAGGCGGUUUUGUAAGACGGAUGUGAAAUCCCCGGGCUUAACCUGGGAACUGCAUUCGUGACUGCAAGGCUAGAGUAUGGCAGAGGGGGGUAGAAUUCCACGUGUAGCAGUGAAAUGCGUAGAGAUGUGGAGGAAUACCGAUGGCGAAGGCAGCCCCCUGGGCCAAUACUGACGCUCAUGCACGAAAGCGUGGGGAGCAAACAGGAUUAGAUACCCUGGUAGUCCACGCCCUAAAACGAUGUCAACUAGUUGUUGGGGAUUCAUUUCCUUAGUAACGUAGCUAACGCGUGAAGUUGACCGCCUGGGGGAGUACGGUCGCAAGAUUAAAACUUAAAGGAAUUGACGGG